GACGAACGCUGGCGGCGUGCCUAAUACAUGCAAGUUGAGCGCUGAAGGUUGGUACUUGUACCAACUGGAUGAGCAGCGAACGGGUGAGUACCGCGUGGGGAAUCUGCCUUUGAGCGGGGGACAACAUUUGGAAACGAAUGCUAAUACCGCAUAAAAACUUUAAACACAAGGUUUAAGUUUGAAAGAUGCAAUUGCAUCACUCAAAGAUGAUCCCGCGUUGUAUUAGCUAGUUGGUGAGGUAAAGGCUCACCAAGGCGAUGAUACAUAGCCGACCUGAGAGGGUGAUCGGCCACAUUGGGACUGAGACACGGCCCAAACUCCUACGGGAGGCAGCAGUAGGGAAUCUUCGGCAAUGGACGAAAGUCUGACCGAGCAACGCCGCGGGAGUGAAGAAGGUUUUCGGAUCGUAAAACUCUGUUGGUAGAGAAGAACGUUGGUGAGAGUGGAAAGCUCAUCAAGUGACGGUAACUACCCAGAAAGGGACGGCUAACUACGUG
This 497-nucleotide ribosomal RNA is filed under the name uncultured bacterium. RNAcentral describes it as "partial 16S ribosomal RNA". It matches the Rfam family "Bacterial small subunit ribosomal RNA", at positions 28 to 507 of the family's 1533-position model. The record is from RNAcentral.